AAGUCGUAACAAGGUUUCCGUAGGUGAACCUGCGGAAGGAUCAUUAACACGUAUCCACGUUAAACCAACCGUGCACUUUCAAUUAUGCGUUGUUUUUGAGCUCGAGGUCAGUUCGCUUUCCAAGAGUUCGAAGACGAUUCGUUUCGGCUCGGCACGUGUCGUGAAGUUGGUGCUUGCGAGUGAAACUGGAAGGGUACGUAACUCGACAGUUUCGACGUGGGGCUGGAAAACUCGAUUUAUUUCAAAGGACGAUCCGUUCUGGGCCGGAUCGAAAUUUGUGGUAAUGAGAGGGUUCUGGAACUCUACGGGGUAACUGUCUGAGUUGCACAUCCAUUUCAAACCCCUUAAAAAAAAUUGACAUCCGAGACCUCAGGGUAAAACCGAGGCUCGAGCAACCGAACAACUGUUAACAAUGGAUAUCUUGGUUCUC
This 430-nucleotide unclassified non-coding RNA is filed under the name fungal sp. Its description in RNAcentral is "partial internal transcribed spacer region". The stretch from base 1 to 46 matches the Rfam family "Eukaryotic small subunit ribosomal RNA", at positions 1786 to 1831 of the family's 1831-position model. Lineage: Eukaryota; Fungi. The record is from RNAcentral.